UGUGUGUUGUUGUUGCAGAGACCUGGAUUUCUCAGGGUGCCUCCUGAGGAAAAGUCUGUCCAAUGGGGAGCCUCCGAGCCGUUACGACCUCAUCGCUGUGUCCAAUCACUACGGAGGACUGAGAGACGGACAUUACACCAGUUACGCGUGCAACAAGGACAACGGUCAGUGGUAUUACUUUGACGACAGUAAGGUGACGUACGCCAGAGAGGACCAGAUCGUGACCAACGCUGCCUACGUCUUGUUCUACCACCGACAAGACAAGAUCAGAAAACCCACUCUGCCCGCCCCCAACGCAAGCCCCGCCUCCUCCACCCAGCCCGCCAACGACAUCACUUCCUGCAAAGACGAUGACGCAGAGCUGGGCGGUGCCGCCGCGGCCGCCGCCUCCUCCUACGUCUCCAUGGAAACGGAAUAAAUGAACUCUCAAGAUUUAGUUAAAUUCCACUUUACGGUAAUUUUUGUUUUUCAUCAGAACAUCGGGCCUUUUUUUUCCGUUUAGUUUUUAUCUUAUUUUUAACGACACUUGAACUUUCUCUGAUUAUUUCUUUCCCCCAAAUCCUAAAAACAGCUCGGCUGCUUCUCUUCUCUCGAAAAGUCGCCGCGUGCUCGGAGGAUAACGUGGCCGCGUGUUUCUCAGGUAGUUUGAAGGUGAUCUCACUUUUAGACCGUUAAUUUGAGCCGAAACUCGACGUUAAAUAUUCCCGUUUGAAGUGACGUCUGUUUCCUGAAGUCUGGAGCGAGCGUGCAGAAUAAUUAUUGAUUUUUACUAUAACCUGAUUUAUUAUCCUGCAUAUUAAUGACGCAUUACACGACUCAAACUAGAGAAAUAAAGAGAUCUUUCACUUUUAA
Molecule: non-coding RNA, 852 nt
Organism: Plectropomus leopardus (leopard coralgrouper)
Lineage: Eukaryota; Metazoa; Chordata; Actinopteri; Perciformes; Serranidae
Source: RefSeq, a predicted model, not a curated record